GGUUAAGCUAAUAAGAGCGCAGGGUGGAUGCCUUGGCACUAAGAGCCGAAGAAAGACGUGAUAAGCUGCGAAAAGCUGCGGGGAGGAGCAAAUGUCCAUUGAUCCGCAGAUGUCUGAAUGGGGAAACCCGUCUGGAAGAACUCCAGUCACUGCAUGUUGAAUACAUAGGCAUGCAGGGGGAACCCGGUGAACUGAAACAUCUAAGUAGCCGGAGGAAAAGAAAGAAAAAUCGAUUUCCAAAGUAGCGGCGAGCGAAAUGGAAGGAGCCCAAACCGGGAUGCGUGCAUUCCGGGGUUAUGGACCGCAACAAGUGACCCGUAAGAUAGAAGAAUGGCAUUGGGAAAGCCAGCCACAGAGGGUGAAAGCCCCGUAUUCGAAAUCAGAAGGGAGCGAGCGGAAUCCGAAGUACUACGAGACACGUGGAACCUUGUAGGAAAUCGGGGGGACCACCCCCCAAGGCUAAAUACUCCUUAGUGACCGAUAGCGCAUAGUACUGUGAAGGAACGGUGAAAAGAACCCCGGGAGGGGAGUGAAAGAGAACCUGAAACCCUGUGUUUACAAGCUGUGGAAGAGCUUUACAUGCUCAACCGCGUACUUUUUGUAGAACGGUCCGGCGAGUUACUCUUACUGGCAAGGUUAAGCACCAAAGGUGUGGAGCCGAAGGGAAACCAAGUCUUAACAGGGCGAGUUAGUCAGUGUGAGUAGACCCGAAACCGGGUGACCUACCCAUGUCCAGGAUGAAGUUGCCGUAAAAGGCAAUGGAGGUCCGAACACACAUCCGUUGAAAAGGGUGGUGAUGAGGUGUGGGUAGCGGAGAAAUUCCAAUCGAACCCGGAGAUAGCUGGUUCUCCUCGAAAUAGCUUUAGGGCUAGCCUCAAUUUAGUCUUGCGGAGGUAGAGCACUGAAUAUCCUAGGGGGCGUCAAAGCUUACCGAAGAUUAUCAAACUCCGAAUGCCGUAAAGAUGAUGAUUGGGAGUCAGACUGCACGAGAUAAGUUGGGUAGUCAAAAGGGAAACAGCCCAGACCUCCAGCUAAGGUCCCAAAGUGAGUGUUAAGUGGAAAAGGAUGUGGGAUUUCGAAGACAACUAGGAUGUUGGCUCAGAAGCAGCCAUUCAUUCAAAGAGUGCGUAAUAGCUCACUAGUCGAGAGGUCCUGCGCCGAAAAUGUCCGGGGCUAAACACUACACCGAAGCUGAGGAAUGACAAUGUCAUUGGUAGAGGAGCAUUCUUAACUGCGACGAAGCUGUACCGAAAGGAGCAGUGGAGUGUU
This 1269-nucleotide ribosomal RNA is filed under the name human gut metagenome. Its description in RNAcentral is "bacterial LSU rRNA". It matches the Rfam family "Bacterial large subunit ribosomal RNA", at positions 1 to 1282 of the family's 2925-position model. The record is from RNAcentral.